RNAcentral lists this ribosomal RNA (827 nucleotides) under uncultured soil bacterium. Its description in RNAcentral is "SSU rRNA". It matches the Rfam family "Bacterial small subunit ribosomal RNA", at positions 1 to 869 of the family's 1533-position model. The record is from RNAcentral.
UAGAGUUUGAUCCUGGCUCAGAAUCAACGCUGGCGGCGCGCUUAACACAUGCAAGUCGCACGAGAAAGUGGAGCAAUCCAUGAGUACAGUGGCGUACGGGUGAGUAACACGUGGAUCAUCUACCUCUUGGUGGGGAAUAACCCUGGGAAACCGGGGCUAAUACCGCAUAAGCCUGCAAAGGGAAAGCAGCAAUGCGCCGAGAGAGGAGUCCGCGGCCGAUUAGCUUGUUGGUAGGGUGAUGGCCUACCAAGGCAAUGAUCGGUAGCCGGCCUGAGAGGGCACACGGCCACACUGGCACUGAAACACGGGCCAGACUCCUACGGGAGGCAGCAGUGGGGAAUCUUGCACAAUGGGGGAAACCCUGAUGCAGCGACGCCGCGUGAGCGAUGAAGCCCUUCGGGGUGUAAAGCUCUUUCGGCAGGAACGAUAAUGACGGUACCUGCAGAAGAAGCUGCGGCUAACUACGUGCCAGCAGCCGCGGUAAUACGUAGGCAGCAGGCGUUGUUCGGAAUUACUGGGCGUAAAGAGUGUGUAGGCGGUUCUCUAAGUUCCGUGUGAAAUCUCCCGGCUUAACUGGGAGGGUGCGCGGAAGACUGGAGGGCUGGAGUAUGGGAGAGGAAAGCGGAAUUCCUGGUGUAGCGGUGAAAUGCGUAGAUAUCACGAGGAACACCUGCGGUGUAGACAGCUUUCUGGACCAUCACUGACGCUGAGACACGAAAGCGUGAGUAGCAACAGGAUUAGAUACCCUGGUAGUCCACGCCCUAAACGAUGCAUACUUGGUGUGAGCCGUUCAUUCGGUUCGUGCCGGAGUUACGCGUUAAAUAUGC